RNAcentral lists this unclassified non-coding RNA (94 nucleotides) under Kaistella jeonii. Its description in RNAcentral is "Chryseobacterium jeonii Flavo-1 RNA". The record is from RNAcentral. Lineage: Bacteria; Pseudomonadati; Bacteroidota; Flavobacteriia; Flavobacteriales; Weeksellaceae.
AACCAGCCCCGAUUGAACGGCCUGUUUGAGCUCUUUUUUUGAUGUUGGAAUAUGUGGUGGCGAAAAAAAGCGAGUAGUGAAAGCGGGAUUUAGC